RNAcentral lists this ribosomal RNA (339 nucleotides) under uncultured bacterium. RNAcentral describes it as "bacterial SSU rRNA". It matches the Rfam family "Bacterial small subunit ribosomal RNA", at positions 22 to 356 of the family's 1533-position model. The record is from RNAcentral.
GCUCAGGACGAACGCUGGCGGCGCGCCUAACACAUGCAAGUCGAACGAGCGAGAGAGAGCUUGCUUUCUCAAGCGAGUGGCGAACGGGUGAGUAACGCGUGAGGAACCUGCCUCAAAGAGGGGGACAACAGUUGGAAACGACUGCUAAUACCGCAUAAGCCCACGGCUCGGCAUCGAGCAGAGGGAAAAGGAGCAAUCCGCUUUGAGAUGGCCUCGCGUCCGAUUAGCUAGUUGGUGAGGUAACGGCCCACCAAGGCGACGAUCGGUAGCCGGACUGAGAGGUUGAACGGCCACAUUGGGACUGAGACACGGCCCAGACUCCUACGGGAGGCAGCAGUA